RNAcentral lists this ribosomal RNA (497 nucleotides) under uncultured bacterium. RNAcentral's name for it is "partial 16S ribosomal RNA". It matches the Rfam family "Bacterial small subunit ribosomal RNA", at positions 28 to 507 of the family's 1533-position model. The record is from RNAcentral.
GAUGAACGCUGGCGGCGUGCCUAAUACAUGCAAGUCGAGCGAACAGACGAGGAGCUUGCUCCUCUGACAUUAGCGGCGGACGGGUGAGUAACACGUGGAUAACCUACCUAUAAGACUGGGAUAACUUCGGGAAACCGGAGCUAAUACCGGAUAAUAUAUUGAACCGCAUGGUUCAAUAGUGAAAGACGGUUUUGCUGUCACUUAUAGAUGGAUCCGCGCCGCAUUAGCUAGUUGGUAAGGUAACGGCUUACCAAGGCAACGAUGCGUAGCCGACCUGAGAGGGUGAUCGGCCACACUGGAACUGAGACACGGUCCAGACUCCUACGGGAGGCAGCAGUAGGGAAUCUUCCGCAAUGGGCGAAAGCUUGAUGGAGCAACGCCGCGUGAGUGAUGAAGGUCUUCGGAUCGUAAAACUCUGUUAUUAGGGAAGAACAAAUGUGUAAGUAACUAUGCACGUCUUGACGGUACCUAAUCAGAAAGCCACGGCUAACUACGUG